GCGAUCGAUAGAUAUGUCCCGUUAUUUAGAUUACGAUGAGUUAAAACAUGAUCUUGCCCGUAUGUUCAGCAUUGAGGGACAGCUUGAAGAUCGACAGAGGGUUGGAUGGAAACUAGUAUAUGUUGAUCAUGAAAAUGAUGUUCUACUUGUGGGGGACGACCCAUGGGAGGAGUUUGUUAAUUGUGUCCGGUGCAUCAAAAUACUGUCCCCGCAAGAAGUCCAGCAAAUGAGAAUGGACGGUGAUCUAGGGAGCAACAUUCAGGCAUGCAGCAGUUCGGAUGGUGGAAAUGCAUGGAGGGGACAACCCGAGCAAAUCUCGGGCAACCAUUCUGC
RNAcentral lists this unclassified non-coding RNA (333 nucleotides) under Hevea brasiliensis (rubber tree). Lineage: Eukaryota; Viridiplantae; Streptophyta; Magnoliopsida; Malpighiales; Euphorbiaceae. The record is from RNAcentral.